AUGCCUCAGGGAUGAGCCGCAGAGAGUGUGACCAGGCCCAGCUGACACAUCUCAGAGCACAUGUGGGUCUGCCUCCCACAGGCCCAGCCGGCCCCCCAACACCAGCCAAGUCUCAGCCCGUCAUCGUCCCCCGGGGGUGGUGCUGGGCCUUGUGGGGCAGAAGGAAAGAGACAGCAUUCCUUCCAGGCAUUUUAAGCAGAAAGGAUCCAACACAGGGAAUUGAACACUCACAACAUUGCUAGAAGGGCUGGAGAGGCACCAGCACCACACAGCAGAACUGGACCUUCAGGAGAGCUGCCAGCCACUCAGGAUGGUGGGGAAUCAGGAGGCCACAGAGGAGCUGUAGACUUUGAGAACGUAUCACAGCACCAUCCAGCCAUCUGGAGAUGAGGAAGCCACCACCACCACCCCUACCUCUAGACUCCCCAAGAGUGGUAACCGGACGCCAAGGUUGCUGCAAGAAAAUCCAUCCCAUGACCAUGCUCACCAGCAGAAAGAGAGCCCAGGAAAAAACAAGGCGGCCCCCACUUCCUGACUCUCACAGGAAGGCAUCUGCCUGGCGGGACCUGCAGAGCGUUCAGAGCCCCUGCUGCAAAGAAGGCUGGGGAAUGCGGCGUGUAGCCUUCCAGUCUCUGCAGCCUCUUGCUAGAAAGAGAUAUUAAUAGGAAUGGAUGCUGAGGAUCAGAUGACCCUGAACAUGAGGUCUUAGGAUUCCCUAUCUCAGCCCCAACACCCUGUGCGAAUGGAAACCUCUGCUUACUUGUCUGUGUUCCCUGAUGGACUGCGGACACUUCAAAAGGCCAGGAUGAUGCCUUGGAUAUCUCGGGCUCAGCAGCAUCUUGCAUAGGCCCAGUGCAAGACAACAGUAGUCAUGCAAGAAGAAAAAGAAGAACUGACAUUUAUUGAGCAUUUACUAUGCACUGAGCACUGGGCUACAUGUUUUACAUACCUGUUGACAUAUUCACAACCCAAUAGGGUAGGCAUUAUUGCUGUCCCUAUUUAUACAUGAAGAAGAGAAGGUCUAUAGAGGUGAAGUAAGUUUCCCAAGGUCACCCAGCCAGUACAUAUCAGAGAUGAGAUUAAAAAUGCAAUCUGUCUGACUUCAAGCUCCAAACACUUGCCACUUAUGAGAGGCACCUUUAUCUUCUCCCAGGCAUCCAGAAAGGUCACAGCAAUGUUGUGCAAUGAAUGAAUGAAUACAUAAGUGUCUUCUCCUUUAGGAAACUACCUGUCCCCAUCUCAGCUGCCUUCCCUCCACUGGGCCUGGGUUCCUCUCCAAGAUCAGGGCUCAGAGAGUAAAAAUAAUACAUAAGACUGCACUGGGAUUCCUCACCUUGGGUCUGUAGGUGGCUCUUAGGCUCCAUGACCACCACUCCCAUAAAGUUGCUAACAUUUUGUGUCUAUAUGCAAUUUUCUGGAGAUUUGACUCAAAGUUUUCACUAAGCUUUCAAACUUCAAAAACUUGAUACUGCUGCAUCAGGGAGGAACACAGGAAUUUUCCUGCCUCCUGACCUCAGUUCCGAUCUUAUGACAUAGCAUGCAUUCACCUGUAUAUCCAUCCAACUUACCUAUCCAUCCAUUCAUUCUCUCAUCCACCAUCCAUGUACUCCUCCAUCCUAUUUCCCCAUCCACUCAUCCACCCAUUCAUCUAUUCAUCCACCAAUCAAUCUAACCAUCCAUCCAUCUUUCCAUCCAUCCAUCCACCUAUCCAUCCAUCUAUUCUCUUAUCCACCCUCCUACCCACCAAUCUAUUCAUUUAUCUACCCAUCCAUUCGCCUAUCCGUCCACCCACUCAUCCAUCCAUCUAUCCACCUACCCAUCCAUCUAUCCACCUACCCAUCCAUCUAUUCUAUUAUCCACCCUCCCACCCACCAAUCCAUUCAUUUUUCUACCUAUCCAUUCUCCUAUCCAUCCAUCCAUCCAUCCAUCCUACCCAUCCAUCUAUUCUAUUAUCCACCCUCCUACCCACCAAUCCAUUCAUUUAUCUACCUAUCCAUUCUCCUAUCCACCCACCCACCCAUCCAUUCAUCUAUCCAUUUACCCAUUCUUCUGUCCACUCACUCAUCCAUCCACCCACUCUUUCAUCUAUCCAUCCAACCAUUUGCCCAUCCAUACACCCACCCAUUCACUCAUGGAAUCACCAAUCCAUCUACCCAUUUAUCCCUUUAUCUGUUUAUUCAUCUAGCCAUCUAUUAAGUCAUCCAUCACUUUAUGUAUUAAUUCAUUCAUUUAAUUAUAUAUUUAUCUAUUCAUUCAUCCAUCAGUAAUUCACAGUAUUCAACAAUGAAAUCACCCGCUCCAUCCAUCACACAAUUUAAAAUCCAGCACUUGUUUAUUUAUUCAACCAUCCAUCAUCCAUCUCUCCAUUUAUCCACUAAUUUCUUCAUUCAUGUGUUCACUCAUCCAUUAAUUCAAUUGUUAAUUAUCUCAUUCAUUGAUUCAUCUAUUCUUUCAUUGAUCUAUUUCUUCAUCCAUUUUAUCCAUUCAUAAACAGUUCCCUUAUCUCCACACAUGUACCCAGCCAUUAAAUUAUCCAUUUGACUAUCCACCCAUCCAUCAAGUCAUCACUCAUCUUUUCACCCAUUAAAUGCUCCAUCCACCCAUUCUGUUCUCUAUACCAGAACCAAGAAGUGAAUCACGGCUGGCCCUGCCCUUGAGAAGCUCACAAUCAAGUGAUGGAAACAGACAGCUACAACCCAAGAUGGAAAAUAUUCAGAAGUCAAAGGGAGCUCCAGGCAGGUGCCUUCACAGAAGGGGACUCAGGUCCUUCUAGGGAUUCAGAGAAGGCUCCUUGGAGGAAGCAGCAUCCAAACAGGACUCAUGAAGUCAGAAAAACAGUGAACAAACUCCCUUAGAUAUCCCAGAGGGUAACUCACAGGACCUAACCACCUAGAUGCUCAUUGAGCUCUUUGGAGCAUCCAAGACUGAGAACACCUGUGGCAAAUGUUCACCCAGGAAUUCCCAAACCCAAUGGCUAAUGGAACACUUUCCCCCUUGUCACUCCUAUUAGUACCCCCAGAGACUCUGUGUCCCUCAGAUCUGUGUCCUCAAAAUGGAUAAAUGAUAAAAUAGAUUUGGGAAAUGCUAGUCUGGUCCAAACUUCUUGUUUCCACAAAGAAGAAAACAAAGUUCCACAAAACAUCUCUGACCUCAAAAAUUGUGUUCAUCUGUAGAUAAGAUGCAAUGCACAAUAUAUGCCCAAAGACUCC
RNAcentral lists this long non-coding RNA (3209 nucleotides) under Homo sapiens (human). Its description in RNAcentral is "non-protein coding LINC01271:6". The record is from RNAcentral. Lineage: Eukaryota; Metazoa; Chordata; Mammalia; Primates; Hominidae.